UGCGGAGGGAUCAUUACUGAGUUUACGCUCUAUAACCCUUUGUGAACAUACCUAUAACUGUUGCUUCGGCGGGUAGGGUCUCCGUGACCCUCCCGGCCUCCCGCCCCCGGGCGGGUCGGCGCCCGCCGGAGGAUAACCAAACUCUGAUUUAACGACGUUUCUUCUGAGUGGUACAAGCAAAUAAUCAAAACUUUUAACAACGGAUCUCUUGGUUCUGGCAUCGAUGAAGAACGCAGCGAAAUGCGAUAAGUAAUGUGAAUUGCAGAAUUCAGUGAAUCAUCGAAUCUUUGAACGCACAUUGCGCCCGCCAGCAUUCUGGCGGGCAUGCCUGUUCGAGCGUCAUUUCAACCCUCAAGCUCUGCUUGGUGUUGGGGCCCUACAGCUGAUGUAGGCCCUCAAAGGUAGUGGCGGACCCUCCCGGAGCCUCCUUUGCGUAGUAACUUUACGUCUCGCACUGGGAUCCGGAGGGACUCUUGCCGUAAAACCCCCAAUUUUCCUAAAGGUUGACCUCGGAUCAGGUAGGAAUACCCGCUGAACUUAAGCAUAUC
This 548-nucleotide ribosomal RNA is filed under the name Colletotrichum gloeosporioides. RNAcentral describes it as "eukaryotic LSU rRNA". The stretch from base 189 to 342 matches the Rfam family "5.8S ribosomal RNA". Lineage: Eukaryota; Fungi; Ascomycota; Sordariomycetes; Glomerellales; Glomerellaceae. The record is from RNAcentral.